GCACUUCCAUCCUCGAUCCUGCGCUGACGUGAACCAGGCAGGACAAGACAGUCCGUGUCUCCUCCAGCACAAGGACCAAAACUGGAAAUAGGAACUGGAUUUAUAG
This is a long non-coding RNA of Sapajus apella (tufted capuchin), 106 nucleotides long. RefSeq lists it as uncharacterized. Lineage: Eukaryota; Metazoa; Chordata; Mammalia; Primates; Cebidae. The record is from RefSeq and is a predicted model, not a curated record. The transcript is spliced from 3 exons.